RNAcentral lists this transfer RNA (76 nucleotides) under Candidatus Gastranaerophilus sp. (ex Termes propinquus). RNAcentral describes it as "tRNA-Val". It matches the Rfam family "tRNA". Rfam says of the family: Transfer RNA (tRNA) molecules are approximately 80 nucleotides in length. Their secondary structure includes four short double-helical elements and three loops (D, anti-codon, and T loops). The record is from RNAcentral. Lineage: Bacteria; Bacillati; Candidatus Melainabacteria; Candidatus Gastranaerophilales; Candidatus Gastranaerophilaceae.
GGGCAAUUAGCUCAAUUGGUAGAGCACUUCCCUUACAAGGAAUAGGUUGGCGGUUCGAGUCCGUCAUUGCCCACCA